AGUGAACGCUGGCGGUAGGCCUAACACAUGCAAGUCGAACGGCAGCACAGUAAGAGCUUGCUCUUGCGGGUGGCGAGUGGCGGACGGGUGAGGAAUACAUCAGACUCUACAUUUUCGUGGGGGAUCACGUAGGGAAACUUACGCUAAUACCGCAUACGCCCUACGGGUGAAAGCAGGGGAUCUUCGGACCUUGCGCGAUUGAAUGAGCCGAUGUCGGAUUAGCUAGUUGGAGGGGUAAAGGCCCACCAAGGCGACGAUCCGUAGCUGGUCUGAGAGGAUGAUCAGCCACACUGGAACUGAGACACGGUCCAGACUCCUACGGGAGGCAGCAGUGGGGAAUAUUGGACAAUGGGCGCAAGCCUGAUCCAGCCAUACCGCGUGUGUGAAGAAGGCCUUCGGGUUGUAAAGCCCUUUUGUUGGGAAAGAAAAGCAGCCGGUUAAUACCCCGCUGUUCUGACGGUACCCAAAGAAUAAGCACCGGCUAACUUCGUG
RNAcentral lists this ribosomal RNA (492 nucleotides) under uncultured bacterium. Its description in RNAcentral is "partial 16S ribosomal RNA". It matches the Rfam family "Bacterial small subunit ribosomal RNA", at positions 29 to 507 of the family's 1533-position model. The record is from RNAcentral.